This 2006-nucleotide long non-coding RNA is filed under the name Lytechinus variegatus (green sea urchin). RNAcentral describes it as "uncharacterized LOC121425727, transcript variant X4". The record is from RNAcentral. Lineage: Eukaryota; Metazoa; Echinodermata; Echinoidea; Temnopleuroida; Toxopneustidae.
AAUUGCUGCACCUUAGAAAGAUGGAGUUUGAAUGCCAAUCACGUUUCAAUUUCUGCUUGUUCAUUUGAAUAUUCUCUUGGAGGCAAAGAAUGGUUGACCUGAGGAUGACCAAGACCUUCUGAAUUGGAGUUUAUCAUUGGAGGAUUAGACUAGAUUGUUGUGAAUUCUAUGGAAACCGGAAAGCGCAGACUGUUUGGGUUUUGAAAGUGUUUUAGAUUGAUGCCUUAUCGAAAACGAACAAGGAUAGUGCUCUUCCAACUGUAAUUAAUUACCUCAUCAAAGUGUGCAAGACGGAACAAAUCUCUUGGAAAUGCAACUUUAAAUCGGAUUGAAAGACAUCUUAACCUCAGAAGCAUCUAAAAACUAGGCAAUUGAACCCCUUAAAUUAUGCCAAAAAAUUGAACAGUAAGAAGCAUUCUUUGUGCAUUUAUCUUCGAAAGCUGAUGUGAUGGGAUGAACCUAUUGAAUAUUCAUGUUUAACAUUGUGAAUAUUCAUUGUUGUUUACAUUGUGAAUAUUCAUACUUUGUAUUGUGAAUGCGUAUAUUUGAAGAGACAAAGUUGUAUCUUCGGUAGAGAGUGUGCACGAGUGGGUCAUCGGUAUUCAUCAGUGCGCAGCAUUCUACUAGAAGGGUGCAACGUCUUCAAACAUUCAAGAACAUCCUUUCGGAACCUUGCAAAAUUUUUGCAGAACCGUACGGAAUCUUGCUGAACUUGGCAGUUGUGUGCUCUAUUGAGCCAUUUCAAACCAAAUACAUUUUUCUUGGAUCAUCUCCCAGUGUGGAUGUACUGUGUCCAGAAUUCACUCUGAAGGCAUUUGAAAAGAGAAGUUAACUAAGAACUUGUGAAAUAAAAAGAAUUCAAUAAACUUAUUGGCCAGUGUGAAACUUGGUCUUGUUGAAUUAUCUUGUUUGGAUAAAGCACACCGAGGGUACAGGAUUGACAAUCAAUUACAAUAGAAUUGAUUGAACUGGAAGUGGUCAGUCAAAGCAAGUAGAAAAAGGCUGGUGAAGGAGUCUAGUCUCCACUUGUAACUCGGGUAUUGUAUCCAGGUGAGUGCUGUAUGACUUUCGUCUUGCAAGAAAAGUUCUGUAGUGAUAUAUGAAGAUGAAAAUAUCAAUAAUGAUAAUACUAACGAUUGGAAUUCCUUGUGCUGUGCAAAAUUUAUCUGGAAGUGUUCUAUGCAUUAAUUUGAAUUGUAUUAGACCAUAAAUUAAGGACACCAUACUUAGUCAUGCUGAUAGUACAUUGAGUAUUUGUCCUCAAAACUCUUUAGGACUGCUAAGAUUUCAUGGAACCAUGUAGUCCUUCACAUUUAAGUUUUAUUUACCAUGGUUUCACUGAAGUGCUUAGAUACAUCUCUGUAUUUCAGCUUUUUGCUUUGAAAUGCAUCAAUUGUACGGAAGACCCUCCUUCUAAAAAAAUAGAUAAACUGAUAGAUAAAUAAAUAGAUAAAAAUUUAUUUUUGAGAGUAUUGACUCUGAAGUGAAAAAGAGUUGAAUACACCCUUGGAUGACCUGUCCUAUCAACUAGGGCCUUAGUUACUACCCAAAGGCCAUGGUUGAUAUUUAUAUAAAGCUAUCUAUGAUGAGGAAAUCAAACUUGACUUCUCUUCCUUUCUUUACACCCUUCAGUAAAAACCACACGCUUUUAAUCGUAAGUUAUGAUGACCUGUUAGAAAAUUGGGCUGUCUAUCUUAGAUGUAUAUUUAGAUGUAUAUUAUAGAUAGAUACAUUUUCAGUCAAGUGAUGUCAUGUCCAGUUUGGCACACAGUUCUGCAUUAUAGUGUUUCAAUUGCAGUUUGAUAUUUUUUUUCCAAAGGCUUGAAUACAUUAUUAUCAACCAAACGUCUUUCAAAACCAGCACUAAAAAAGAGAGAGAAUCUCGUAUAUGAAAUUUAAACAUUAUGAUAGGCUAAGAGAAGCUGAAAUAUUGUUUGGGUUAUCUAUUGAUCAGUUCUUGCUUAAAUAUAAUACAAUUCGUCACUCGUCUGGCAGAAGAGAGCAAA